Panicum hallii is the source of this 303-nucleotide long non-coding RNA. RefSeq lists it as uncharacterized. NCBI's taxonomy places the organism in Eukaryota, Viridiplantae, Streptophyta, Magnoliopsida, Poales, Poaceae. The transcript is spliced from 3 exons. The record is from RefSeq and is a predicted model, not a curated record.
AGGUUUAUCUUGAAAGGAUUUUGAGGAAACCAGAAAUCGAUGCGUUUGCAGAGGGGAGCUGAGGCCGCAUCAAAAAGCUUUAUUGCCAGAUAAGUCCACUGUGCUUGACCGGGCAAUGAUUGAGCAUAAUCUCCUUAGUGCCAGUAAACUUUACACAAAUAUCAGCUUUGAUGAGCUUGGGACAUUAUUGGGCAUUGAUCCAAGGAAGGCAGGUCGCCUUGCUGAGAUGUUUGUUACCUUGUAGUUUGAUUGAUUCCGAAGAGAAAAUUGAUGCGAAGAGCUAGAAAUUAUAAAAUGUAUUAU